RNAcentral lists this ribosomal RNA (427 nucleotides) under Pseudomonas sp. RNAcentral describes it as "partial 16S ribosomal RNA". It matches the Rfam family "Bacterial small subunit ribosomal RNA", at positions 355 to 774 of the family's 1533-position model. Lineage: Bacteria; Pseudomonadati; Pseudomonadota; Gammaproteobacteria; Pseudomonadales; Pseudomonadaceae. RNAcentral also lists the same sequence under 1 other name. The record is from RNAcentral.
UGGGGAAUAUUGGACAAUGGGCGAAAGCCUGAUCCAGCCAUGCCGCGUGUGUGAAGAAGGUCUUCGGAUUGUAAAGCACUUUAAGUUGGGAGGAAGGGUUGUAGAUUAAUACUCUGCAAUUUUGACGUUACCGACAGAAUAAGCACCGGCUAACUCUGUGCCAGCAGCCGCGGUAAUACAGAGGGUGCAAGCGUUAAUCGGAAUUACUGGGCGUAAAGCGCGCGUAGGUGGUUUGUUAAGUUGGAUGUGAAAGCCCCGGGCUCAACCUGGGAACUGCAUCCAAAACUGGCAAGCUAGAGUACGGUAGAGGGUGGUGGAAUUUCCUGUGUAGCGGUGAAAUGCGUAGAUAUAGGAAGGAACACCAGUGGCGAAGGCGACCACCUGGACUGAUACUGACACUGAGGUGCGAAAGCGUGGGGAGCAAACA